This 269-nucleotide long non-coding RNA is filed under the name Gossypium raimondii (Peruvian cotton). RNAcentral describes it as "long non-coding RNA (GRAI_LNC010612)". The record is from RNAcentral. Lineage: Eukaryota; Viridiplantae; Streptophyta; Magnoliopsida; Malvales; Malvaceae.
UUUAACAGCAAGCAAUUCAAAAAUUGAUUGUAAAGCUCACAAGAUGCACUACUAAAAGAGAGAGAGAAGAUUUAAGACAUCAUGGUACAAUAUUUUAGUUACAGUUUCGGGUAUUUUUAGCCUAUGAAACUCUGCUGCUUCACAGAAGAAAUUGAUGAAUGUUGCUUUGAUUUUUUUUAUUUUUUAUUUUAUAGUUUAGUUGGUGACAUGAUUAUUCUCCCAUGGAAGUAGUACCCGCAGCCUUUAUAACAUGGACGCCAGGAAACGCG